This 468-nucleotide ribosomal RNA is filed under the name uncultured bacterium. RNAcentral's name for it is "partial 16S ribosomal RNA". It matches the Rfam family "Bacterial small subunit ribosomal RNA", at positions 28 to 507 of the family's 1533-position model. The record is from RNAcentral.
GACGAACGCUGGCGGCGUGCUUAACACAUGCAAGUCGAACGGAAAGACCCUGAUUUUGUGGGGUGCUCGAUUGGCGAACAGGUGAGUAAAACGUGAGUAACCUGCCCUUGACUUUGGGAUAACAUCAGGAAACUGGGGCUAAUACAGGAUAUGAGCUACUGCAGCAUGUGGGGGGAUGGAAAGUUUCGGCGGUUGGGGAUGGACUCGCGGCUUAUCAGCUUGUUGGUGGGGUAGUGGCUUACCAAGGCUUUGACGGGUAGCCGGCCUGAGAGGGUGGACGGCCUCAAUGGGACUGCGAGACGGCCCAGACUCCUACGGGCGGCAGCAGUGGGGAAUAUUGCACAAUGGGCGGAAGCCUGAUGCAGCAACGCCGCGUGCGUGAUGACGGCCUUCGGGUUGUAAACCGCUUUCGCCUGUGACGAAGCGUGAGUGACGGUAAUGGGUAAAGAAGCACCGGCUAACUACGUG